CCGGACCCCACGGGGGGACGCGCUUCAGGCCCGCCGGCCCUGCUAGGCUCCACUUCCGGCCCCUCGCCCCUUCCUGCGCUCCGCCCGGUCUUUGGUGUUUUAUGUACUCAGGCCCUGACGAAUCGGAGGUCCGGCCAUCCAGGUGACAAGCAUUAUCAGCUACACGUUGCUGAGAGAUGAAAUUGGAUUUUAUAAGCUGCCUUGAAAAUUAUGACAUGUUGAGUUCCUUGCUUUAGUGGAAGCUCGGCUCACACACUACUGAGUUGAAUGGAUCUUUAUCUUGUCUGUUGGUGGGAUUUCUGUACAUGAGUUCUUGAGAGACUACGUAAAGUAGUGAAAGGCUGAACAUUUCUCUGAGAGGUUUGAGGACUGCAGAGUUCCACCCUGACCUCGAUGGAGUGCUCAGAGAGGUCAGCAACGAUAUUUUGGGGAAGCAGACACGAUUGCUUCCUCACCUAGGCUAACUACUGAAAAACCAGGAACUUUCCCCACUAAAGAAAUACUUUGAGAGUUCACUUUUUCAUAAUGGGACAAGUGAUAAUAGAAUGAAGCAACAUUAGUAUUUUUUUUCAAAAGCAAUGGUUAAGCUCUGAGUCAUGAAAAAAGCCAUUGCAGAUCACAUUCUUCAACGGACUUAACCAGCUGAGUAAUCACCAGCCAGUGCCUUCGGCCCUAGACGGUGUAGCUUAAGAGGACCAUUUCUCCUGGCAUUGCGAUAUUGAUCAGCCUUGCUGCCUCCCAUCAGAUACACUUGGCCUUUUCUGCUUGCAACAGUUCCUCCAAGGGCUCUCCAAGGCUGCAGGGAAAUUUGAACACAGAGUCAGAUAUCACAGCAAAGACAAAGUGAUGACACAGAGGAAAACACCACAUGAAGAAGGCAGAGAUUGGAGUAAAGCAUCUACAAGCCCAGGAACACCAACGAUUGCCAGCACAUCACCAGAAACUAGAGAGCAGCAUGAAACAGAUUCUUCCUUGCAGCUCUCAGAAGGAACCCAUACUGCUGACAUCUUAAUUUCAGACUUCUAACCUCCAGAACUGUGAGACAAUAAAUUUCUGUUGUUUUUAGGCACCCAGUUUGUGGUACUUUGUUUCAGC
This is a non-coding RNA of Delphinapterus leucas (beluga whale), 1095 nucleotides long. The record is from RefSeq and is a predicted model, not a curated record. Lineage: Eukaryota; Metazoa; Chordata; Mammalia; Artiodactyla; Monodontidae.